GAAUUUUGGACAAUGGGGGCAACCCUGAUCCAGCCAUCCCGCGUGUGCGAUGAAGGCCUUCGGGUUGUAAAGCACUUUUGGCAGGGAAGAAAAGGCUCUGGCUAAUGCCUGGAUCUGCUGACGGUACCAGCAGCAUAAGCACCGGCUAAGCACGUGCCAGCAGCGGCGGUAAUACGGAGGGUGCAAGCGUGAAGCGGUAUUACUGGGCGUACGGCGUGCGCAGGCGGUUCGGCAAGAAGGAUGUGAAAUCCCAGGGCUUAACCUUGGAACUGCAUACUUAACUGCCGGGCUAGAGUAUGUCAGAGGGGGGUAGAAUUCCGCGUGUAGCAGUGAAAUGCGUAGAGAUGCGGAGGAAUACCGAUGGCGAAGGCAGCCCCCUGGGAUAAUACUGACGCUCAUGCACGAAAGCGUGGGGAGCAAA
Molecule: ribosomal RNA, 421 nt
Filed under: uncultured bacterium
Lineage: Bacteria
Description: partial 16S ribosomal RNA
Rfam family: Bacterial small subunit ribosomal RNA
Source: RNAcentral